This 253-nucleotide ribosomal RNA is filed under the name uncultured bacterium. Its description in RNAcentral is "partial 16S ribosomal RNA". It matches the Rfam family "Bacterial small subunit ribosomal RNA", at positions 524 to 776 of the family's 1533-position model. The record is from RNAcentral.
UACGUAGGUGGCAAGCGUUGUCCGGAUUUACUGGGCGUAAAGAGCGCGCAGGCGGUCGUUCAAGUCGCGUGUGAAAGCCCCCGGCUCAACUGGGGAGGGUCACGCGAUACUGAUCGACUCGAAGGCAGGAGAGGGAAGUGGAACUGCGAGUGUAGAGGUGAAAUUCGUAGAUAUUCGCAAGAACACCAGUGGCGAAGGCGGCUUACUGGUCCGGAACUGACGCUGAGGUGCGAAAGCGUGGGGAGCAAACAGG